Molecule: long non-coding RNA, 671 nt
Organism: Carassius auratus (goldfish)
Lineage: Eukaryota; Metazoa; Chordata; Actinopteri; Cypriniformes; Cyprinidae
Exons: 2
Source: RefSeq, a predicted model, not a curated record
AAAGUUGUAUGUGUACGAUGGAAUGACGUCACACCAUGCGGUAUAGGCCUGUUCAAUUGUGGCUUUACACAUUUUUUUACAUUGUGCAAAUGUUUCAGGUGUUGAUGUUUUAUCUGAUUAUUUACAGUACAGCAUUUUGUUGAGGAUUUCAGCCCUCAUAAAGUGAAUGUGAGGUGUAAAAUAGGAGCUCAUCAUUUUUAUUCCCACUGCCGUAUUGUACCGUGUAGUACCACAUGUGAUUUUAGUGUGGUAGUUUCUCUGUAGCGUCUCACAACAUUUUGUUGUUGUGGUAUUCCUUUUGUAUUUAAUUAUUUAACUUUUGUAUCUUUGUGUGGCGGCUGUAUUUUUACGGGGCCGUGUUUGCGAUGGUUAAGAGUUUGUUUCUGCUUAUAGCAGUUGGAUUGUGGAACAAUCUGUUGAACAUUAGGAAUAAUUAUACACUGAGAAAUAUAGAGCUGUGAGAUUUAAACUUUAUUCUCAGCUCUUUGUAUCCUUCUCUGUUUUUUUUGUUCCGUCUAUUUUCAAAAAUAGAUAUUUAACUCUUUUUCUUUGUUUCCGGUCUAUUUUGAGCCGGAACGGUUUCUUGUACACUCUUGUUAAACAUUUCAGAACAUGUCAUUCUUUUGAAAAUACUAAAUGAAUAAACUACAAAGUAAGUAAACCCGCUAAAA